GUGGUAGAGGUGUAACAGGUUGCACGCUUCGUUGCCAACGAAGAGGUUUAGCGGGUUCGAGUCCCGUCUACCGCAC
Molecule: transfer RNA, 76 nt
Filed under: Microbacterium phage Cece
Lineage: Duplodnaviria; Heunggongvirae; Uroviricota; Caudoviricetes
Description: tRNA-Gly
Rfam family: tRNA
About the family: Transfer RNA (tRNA) molecules are approximately 80 nucleotides in length. Their secondary structure includes four short double-helical elements and three loops (D, anti-codon, and T loops). Further hydrogen bonds mediate the characteristic L-shaped molecular structure. tRNAs have two regions of fundamental functional importance: the anti-codon, which is responsible for specific mRNA codon recognition, and the 3' end, to which the tRNAs corresponding amino acid is attached (by aminoacyl-tRNA synthetases). tRNAs cope with the degeneracy of the genetic code in two manners: having more than one tRNA (with a specific anti-codon) for a particular amino acid; and 'wobble' base-pairing, i.e. permitting non-standard base-pairing at the 3rd anti-codon position.
Source: RNAcentral